Molecule: long non-coding RNA, 641 nt
Organism: Serinus canaria (Common canary)
Lineage: Eukaryota; Metazoa; Chordata; Aves; Passeriformes; Fringillidae
Exons: 3
Source: RefSeq, a predicted model, not a curated record
UGCCGAAUUCCUGCGUGGGGUAACCCUUGGAGCAGCGGUGCGGGGCCACCCCCGCCAGCUGCUCCCGCAGGAAGGAGCGGGUGACGCUCUGCUGCGGGGGACACUCGGUGACCCCUCGGAGGGGCAGUCCGGUGCCUGAAAAAAAAGAGGGGAAUUUUCAUGGAAAAUCCUCCUUGGAAGGGAUCAAAUCCAACUCCGGGCCCUGCUCAGAAUUCCCAGAAUUCCCAAAACUGGGAAAACGCUCCUGGAGCCUUGGGAAGGUCCUGCUUUCCCAGGAAAUCCCGGGGGCGCCGGCGCCGCUUUUCCAGGCGGAUCCCAACAUUCCCAGGGCUCAAGGGAGGAUCCCGAAGGCAAAUCCCGGCUCCAGCCCGGAUUCCUCUCACUUUUAUGGAUUCUCCCUGCCCUGAACAACAACAACAACAACACCCCCGGAGGUUUUCAUGCUGAAUUCCCUGACCUGGAAUUCCGGGAAUAAACAGGCGUCGGAGCGUGGCUUAGGCCGGGUUUUAUGGGAAUUCUUUGGGAAGCUCGGGAUCAAGGAGAGCUCCUAAUUCCCGGUUGUGUGUGCCCAGUGCAAGGGAGCGGGGCAUUAAAGUCAUUAAAAAUGUCCUUAAUUAGCACCCCAAUGUCCUUAAUUAACA